Molecule: long non-coding RNA, 1439 nt
Organism: Symphalangus syndactylus (siamang)
Lineage: Eukaryota; Metazoa; Chordata; Mammalia; Primates; Hylobatidae
Source: RefSeq, a predicted model, not a curated record
GAAUGACUAUUAUUAGGGAAAGUGGACCCAAGAAGGUCAAGUUCCUUGCCUGAGGUCACACAGCUAGUAAAAGGCAGAGCAAAGGUUGAAACUCAGGAUGGUCUGUCUCCAGGUCCGGGGCUCUUCACCACUCAGCCCUGCCUAUUCCAGGGCUGGCAGCCUCUCUACGGAGGUGAAGCGUCUACUGGAUCACUUUUGACCAACAACACAUCAGCUGGUAGAGGGAGGAGGGGUGGGCCAAGAAGGGCCCCUUCCCCCUCAGGCCGGAGAGAUUCCUCUGACUAAUUUGCUGGGUGACUUCGAUGGCAAACUGCAGCCCUGUUCCCUCCAGCUGAGACUCCUCAGUCUUGCUCAUGACUGGGUCCCCUGGGCAGAGACAGGGCCUGGCAGAGAGCAGAUGUCCAGUAAAUACCUCUUGGCCAUAAGAAUGACUGGGAACACUCAUGCAGUGAGAACACCUUCCUGUGUGUUAUCUCAUCUCAUCCUCACAGCAGCCCAGAGAGAGUUCGAUAUGGAAGAAACUCUGUCGUUGUUCCGGUACCUGGGCUGGACCCUGAUGGGAAGACAGACAAGGCAGGGCAGAUAUCCAUCAGGCACUCUCUCUGACUGCCCAGCCCACUGCUUUGAGCCUGAUCGAAGAACCUGGACGGAAGAUCUGGAAUACUUCUCUCUGCCGGCUCACGCUCUUGACACCAGUGCUCAUCUGAAGUCACAUCUGGGAAGCCUGGUUCACGUGAUUCUCCUGCCUCAGCCUCCGGAGUAGCUGGGAUUACAGGCGCCCACCACCACGCCUGGCUAAUUUACUGGAUCCAGAAAUGUCAAGACACUACCCCAGGAUUCAACAGCACAUGAGGGACAAAGCCAGGACCCCACCCUUAUUCUUUCAAGGCUGGCCUGUGCCCUGGAGCUCUUCCACACACCUCCCCCUCCAAAACAGGGAGAAGCCCAAGACAGUGACUCAGAGCCCCCUUGGCAGUUUUGCUGAUAAUUUUUUUGUUUUGAAGGGAGAUGUUCUGCCUCUAUUAAAGUCUUUAGGAAAUUAUAGUGAUUUUGACUUUUUCAGACAUGUUUGAAUUACUCACAGUCUGGAAUUCCCAGGCAGGGGGUGAGAUUUAGAGAGGCCUUAGAAUACAGAAGUUAGGGGCACAGGAUUUGGGAUUAGAGGGAUCUGAGUUCAGAUCCCCACUCUACCACUUAGUAACUAUGUGAGUUAAUCACAAUGAGCCUUGGUUCCUCAUCUGGUUUUGAUAACAAACACCAGGACUUAGUUCAAGGGCUGCUGGCGGACUGAAUGAAGCAACGAGCGGAGAGUGGCGCAAAGGAGACCUGAGUACACGGGCACUGGGGUUAUUCCCUGGACACCUACUGAAGCAGGAAGGCCAGGAUCUGACUUACCAAGCACACGCCCAGCCUGCAUGAAGGCUCGAGUGCGGCCUGCA